Molecule: small nuclear RNA, 104 nt
Filed under: Bigelowiella natans CCMP2755
Lineage: Eukaryota; Cercozoa; Chlorarachniophyceae
Source: RNAcentral
ACGCCUUCCGGUCGUUGCCGCAAAAAUUGGAACGACACAGAGAAGAUCAGCAUGGCCCCUGCGCAAGGAUGACACGCACAAAUCGAGAAUGAAUGCCUUUUUGA